This is a long non-coding RNA of Sinocyclocheilus grahami, 460 nucleotides long. RefSeq lists it as uncharacterized. NCBI's taxonomy places the organism in Eukaryota, Metazoa, Chordata, Actinopteri, Cypriniformes, Cyprinidae. The transcript has 3 exons. The record is from RefSeq and is a predicted model, not a curated record.
UUUUAUGGGUAUAUAAAAGGGGACUUUUAAGACACUGUUGUAUGUUGGAGCACCGAUUGUGCGUCACUGCCCGAGGCACGCCCAUUCCAGUUUUGGCUCUCACCGUCUCACAGUUCUCCGACGGGCAACCGUCAUAGUGGAUAGUUGGCGGCUGCCUUUCUCAUCCAAUAUGUUCCGGCUGUAAUCCCGUGCCUUUUUCGCCGUGUUGAUGUCCGUUUGCGUGUGCGACCGAACUCGUGACUAUAGCGACAACAUGAAGGAGGAAUAGUUCGAUUAGGAUCCAUUGCAUUCAGUGCAGCUUACGGGGCAACAUUCUUUGAUGCUGCUGCUUUGUUGACUUUAGUCCCUGUGACUUGAAACUGCUCUUUGGCGUGUGUUUGCGCUGUGUAUGUCCUCUGUUAGACCAGUUUUCUAUGUAAUUUUGGUUACUUUAUUUGUAUGUUUAUAUGAAAUUGUAAUG